UUAAUGAGAGUUUGAUCCUGGCUCAGGACGAACGCUGGCGGCGUGCCUAAUACAUGCAAGUAGAACGCUGAGGACUGGUGCUUGCACCGGUCCAAGGAGUUGCGAACGGGUGAGUAACGCGUAGGUAACCUACCUCAUAGCGGGGGAUAACUAUUGGAAACGAUAGCUAAUACCGCAUAAAAGUGUUUAACCCAUGUUAAACAUUUAAAAGGUGCAACUGCAUCACUAUGAGAUGGACCUGCGUUGUAUUAGCUAGUUGGUGAGGUAACGGCUCACCAAGGCGACGAUACAUAGCCGACCUGAGAGGGUGAUCGGCCACACUGGGACUGAGACACGGCCCAGACUCCUACGGGAGGCAGCAGUAGGGAAUCUUCGGCAAUGGACGGAAGUCUGACCGAGCAACGCCGCGUGAGUGAAGAAGGUUUUCGGAUCGUAAAGCUCUGUUGUUAGAGAAGAAUGAUGGUGGGAGUGGAAAAUCCACCAUGUGACGGUAACUAACCAGAAAGGGACGGCUAACUACGUGCCAGCAGCCGCGGUAAUACGUAGGUCCCGAGCGUUGUCCGGAUUUAUUGGGCGUAAAGCGAGCGCAGGCGGUUCUUUAAGUCUGAAGUUAAAGGCAGUGGCUCAACCAUUGUACGCUUUGGAAACUGGAGAACUUGAGUGCAGAAGGGGAGAGUGGAAUUCCAUGUGUAGCGGUGAAAUGCGUAGAUAUAUGGAGGAACACCGGUGGCGAAAGCGGCUCUCUGGUCUGUAACUGACGCUGAGGCUCGAAAGCGUGGGGAG
RNAcentral lists this ribosomal RNA (783 nucleotides) under Streptococcus dysgalactiae subsp. equisimilis. RNAcentral's name for it is "bacterial SSU rRNA". It matches the Rfam family "Bacterial small subunit ribosomal RNA", at positions 1 to 768 of the family's 1533-position model. Lineage: Bacteria; Bacillati; Bacillota; Bacilli; Lactobacillales; Streptococcaceae. The record is from RNAcentral.